UUCGCAAUGCCCGAAAGGGUGACGAAGCGACGCCGCGUGUGGGAAGAAGGCCUUCGGGUUGUAAACCACUGUCGGGAGUUAAGAAAUGCAAGAAUGUUAAUAGCGUUUUUGCUUGACUAAGGCUCCGGAGGAAGCCACAGCUAACUCUGUGCCAGCAGCCGCGGUAAUACAGAGGCGGCAAGCGUUGUUCGGAAUUAUUGGGCGUAAAGAGCACGUAGGCGGCUAUAUAAGUCGGUUGUGAAAGCCUUCCGCUCAACGGGAGAACAGCAUCCGAUACUGUGUGGCUUGAGUGUGGGAGGGGAGAGCGGAACUUCUGGUGGAGCGGUGAAAUGCGUAGAUAUCAGAAGGAACGCCGGCGGCGAAAGCGGCUCUCUGGCCCAUAACUGACGCUGAGUGUGCGAAAGCUAGGGGAGCAAACGGGAUUAGAUACCCCGGUAGUCCUAGCCGUAAACGAUGGGCACUAAGUAGAGGGGUU
Molecule: ribosomal RNA, 475 nt
Filed under: uncultured bacterium
Lineage: Bacteria
Description: bacterial SSU rRNA
Rfam family: Bacterial small subunit ribosomal RNA
Source: RNAcentral